Non-coding RNA from Schistosoma margrebowiei, 45 nucleotides. Lineage: Eukaryota; Metazoa; Platyhelminthes; Trematoda; Strigeidida; Schistosomatidae. The record is from Rfam.
AUCUAUCCGACGAGUCCCAAAUAGGAUGAAACGUGCGUCUUGGUU